AAAUAGAUAAGCUAAAUUAUUUAAGCUAUUGGGCUCAUAACCCAACAAUGGAAUUUUACCUCUAUUUA
RNAcentral lists this transfer RNA (68 nucleotides) under Glossodoris acosti. RNAcentral describes it as "tRNA-Met". The record is from RNAcentral. Lineage: Eukaryota; Metazoa; Mollusca; Gastropoda; Nudibranchia; Chromodorididae.